This 497-nucleotide ribosomal RNA is filed under the name uncultured bacterium. RNAcentral's name for it is "partial 16S ribosomal RNA". It matches the Rfam family "Bacterial small subunit ribosomal RNA", at positions 28 to 507 of the family's 1533-position model. The record is from RNAcentral.
GAUGAACGCUGGCGGCGUGCCUAAUACAUGCAAGUCGAGCGAACAGACGAGGAGCUUGCUCCUCUGACGUUAGCGGCGGACGGGUGAGUAACACGUGGAUAACCUACCUAUAAGACUGGGAUAACUUCGGGAAACCGGAGCUAAUACCGGAUAAUAUAUUGAACCGCAUGGUUCAAUAGUGAAAGACGGUUUUGCUGUCACUUAUAGAUGGAUCCGCGCCGCAUUAGCUAGUUGGUAAGGUAACGGCUUACCAAGGCAACGAUGCGUAGCCGACCUGAGAGGGUGAUCGGCCACACUGGAACUGAGACACGGUCCAGACUCCUACGGGAGGCAGCAGUAGGGAAUAUUCCGCAAUGGGCGAAAGCCUGACGGAGCAACGCCGCGUGAGUGAUGAAGGUCUUCGGAUCGUAAAGCUCUGUUAUUAGGGAAGAACAAAUGUGUAAGUAACUAUGCCCGUCUUGACGGUACCUACUCAGAAAGCCACGGCUAACUACGUG